This 383-nucleotide long non-coding RNA is filed under the name Scleropages formosus (Asian bonytongue). Its description in RNAcentral is "lncRNA (ENSSFOG00015026411.1)". The record is from RNAcentral. Lineage: Eukaryota; Metazoa; Chordata; Actinopteri; Osteoglossiformes; Osteoglossidae.
CCGACUAACGGAUUUAACAAGUGUACACUGGUCGCCCGGGUCACAAAGGUCUUAGCGAAGUGUGGAAGAGCCUCGCGGAGUCCGCCCUGCUGACUGCUGAUCCCAAGCUGGACGGGUGCGACGGCAAGACCCCUUUUGAAGGCGUAAAACAAAGGAAUUCUGCGAUUCGGAGAGAACGGAAACCCCGGUACAAAAGGGAUGAUGGACAGGAGGCCCCCGGAGGUGCAGGAAAGGGCAGUGAUGAACAGGAGCUAGAUCCUCUCCCAUGCCUCUCUCCUUCUCCCCCACACCCCACCUGACAUGCCCCUGCAAGCCGUCAGUCAACCGCCUCCUCGCGCAGGUUGAGAAGGCUGCAGACAUUGAGCUUCCGGUUCUGCUUGGCC